AUCUUGUAUAAAUUUAUUGUGGAAGAACAGUAAUGCAGAAAAAUCUCUCAUAAGCUUUUGUUCAAUGUAAUGUCAUCACCUCUGCAAUUUUGUUGAAAAACAUUAUGUGCAUUGUGGCAGUGUCAGGAUUCCCAGCAACUAUUUUUAUAGCUUCUUUCAUCCAACUGGAAACUUAUUAUGGAAGAGAAAGUAUAUACAAUAGCUUUUACAACAAUAGUUAAUGUAUUUGUGUUAUCUAAUAUCACAGGUGAGCUGUCGGUCAAAAGUGGCGGUCUCUGUCCCACCCAGACACCCAACACUAAAAGCUGUUUGUUAUGAGGCAUUGAUGAAAAUCUAAGUUGUUUUGGUCUUAGUAAAUCCUGUAAGACUGCAUGACGACCACAGGCAAAGGUUCGGGUUAUGGCUUUUGUUUUUUAUCCUAAUUAGGAAAUACUAAGCAACGUAAUGGUAUUUAAGUUUCAUGUAGGUUUUUUUUGUCACUAGAUGGCAUAUAGGUAAAACUUCAUAAUGGAGGCCGUGGCUAUCUUCAUGGUUAUGGUUUGACCCGUGUCCUGGCAAAUGGCAACCAACAGUUAUUUUAUUAAGGCUUUUUUUGUUUGUUUUUUGUUCGUAUUUUUGCCAGUUAUACUUUCUUUUAUUUGAAUUUUCAAAUGAAUAUGGCAGUGGAAAGCUGAACGGCAAGAAAAAGUUGAUUUGUGAACUGAAUUUUUGAGAGUUACGUGAAUAGAAGGAACAAGAGAUUCUACUAAAGAAGAAAAUGCAUUACAACUUCAAAUUGAGUGGAAGAUUGUUAGUUUUUGCUUCUGCUAUAGAAGCAAACAAAAAAAUUAGUUAUAGCAAAACCUGUACAACUGUAAUCAGGAGCAACCAGGAAUUUGGACAAGAAAGAAACAACCUUUCAACAAGAAAUCAGUUUUGAAGCCUGAGCAAUAUUAAUGCAUUCAACUGCGGCAAAGUAUGCUCCGGUAUUUGACAUGUUUUGGAACGCCAGUGUACUAACAAGAAAUCUACUGGGGCAUCCUUGGCUAUCCAAACAAAUUGAAGCGGAUCUCAAAUACCUACUGGCGAUUUUUCAGUUUUCUUCUCCACUUCUAUUAUCCAUAUGCAGUUUUUACGCCACUUCAUUACCUUCAUGGUGUGAUAUUUUAUCAUUCCGGAAAAAGGAGUCUGGAAAUUGAUGUUUCUAAUAUACAGCUGGUGUUCAGGUUUAUUUUUACAUAAUGAACUUUCAAUUGGAAGUUGAGUGUUUUAUCAGAUUAUGGAAUCCUACUUUGAAAACCAAACUAUUUCCUUCUUCAAAUGGAUUUUGAACUAUUGUACAUAUGGUAUUAUGUACUCAAUGAUAUUUUCGUGAAGCCUUUAAUUGACGUUAUACUGAAAAAAUUUCCAUGGAAGGAAGUUCUUGCAGGAUCUGUUAUCGACCGUUUAUGUUAUGCAGUAAUUGGAUCUGCUGUUCAGUUAGAAACUUAAACUUAGAAAUAUUCUCAGCGAAGAAUUUAUAUGAAGAAUGUUAUUUCAUUGGAAAAAGUUCCUGGUUGAGACAAGAGAUUUAAAAAUGAUACUGUUUGGAAAGACGACCGGCAAUUUCAAGAUUCAUUUAUUUCCUUCCACAUUAUAGUAUUAUUAUAUUUAAAAAAGAUUAAAUUGCAUAUCUGGGC
RNAcentral lists this long non-coding RNA (1658 nucleotides) under Daphnia magna. RNAcentral describes it as "uncharacterized LOC116928328, transcript variant X1". Lineage: Eukaryota; Metazoa; Arthropoda; Branchiopoda; Diplostraca; Daphniidae. The record is from RNAcentral.